Molecule: transfer RNA, 73 nt
Filed under: Crocidura orientalis
Lineage: Eukaryota; Metazoa; Chordata; Mammalia; Eulipotyphla; Soricidae
Also listed under: 1 other name
Description: tRNA-Asn
Source: RNAcentral
UAGAUUGAAGCCAGUUGUUUAGGGUAUUUAGCUGUUAACUAAAAUUUCGAGGGGUAAUAGCCCUCCAAUCUAG